CACGUAGGGGGCGAGCGUUGUCCGGAUUUACUGGGCAUAAAGCGCGCGUAGGUGGUCGUGUAAGCGGGGGAUGAAAGCCCAUGGCUCACCCAUGGAACUGUCCCCCGGACUGCACGGCUCGAGGAAGGAAGGGGAGCAUGGAAUUCCCGGUGUAGCGGUGAAAUGCGUAGAUAUCGAGAGGAACACCUGCGGCGAAGGCGGGUAGCUGGGCCGACACUGACGCUGAGGCGCGAAAGCCAGGGGAGCGAACGGG
RNAcentral lists this ribosomal RNA (253 nucleotides) under uncultured bacterium. Its description in RNAcentral is "partial 16S ribosomal RNA". It matches the Rfam family "Bacterial small subunit ribosomal RNA", at positions 524 to 776 of the family's 1533-position model. The record is from RNAcentral.